RNAcentral lists this ribosomal RNA (253 nucleotides) under uncultured bacterium. RNAcentral describes it as "partial 16S ribosomal RNA". It matches the Rfam family "Bacterial small subunit ribosomal RNA", at positions 524 to 776 of the family's 1533-position model. The record is from RNAcentral.
UACGUAGGGGGCGAGCGUUGUCCGGAAUGACUGGGCGUAAAGGGCGCGUAGGCGGCUUUUUAAGUUUGGAGUGAAAGUCCUGCUUUCAAGGUGGGAAUUGCUUUGAAAACUGGAGAGCUUGAGUGCGGAAGAGGUAAGUGGAAUUCCCAGUGUAGCGGUGAAAUGCGUAGAGAUUGGGAGGAACACCAGUGGCGAAGGCGACUUACUGGGCCGUAACUGACGCUGAGGCGCGAAAGCGUGGGGAGCGAACAGG